AAAGAAUUAGUUAAAACAUAACAUUAAAUUGUCAUUUUAAAAUUAUUUAUAAAAUACUCUUUC
RNAcentral lists this transfer RNA (63 nucleotides) under Lasioglossum parvulum. RNAcentral's name for it is "tRNA-Asp". Lineage: Eukaryota; Metazoa; Arthropoda; Insecta; Hymenoptera; Halictidae. The record is from RNAcentral.